This 4031-nucleotide long non-coding RNA is filed under the name Homo sapiens (human). Its description in RNAcentral is "HSALNT0279095". Lineage: Eukaryota; Metazoa; Chordata; Mammalia; Primates; Hominidae. The record is from RNAcentral.
AGAACACACUGAUAGAAAAUCCAAAAGGAAAACGGCGAAAAGAAGGAAGGGUCAGCUGGAUCCAGUGUUGCCGUGGGAUCUUCUGUGAUAAGAGCAUUGACUAAUGGACUUGGCAAUGAGAAAAAUCGCUGGAGAUUUUCUCAAGAUCAACAUUGUGAGGUGGAGGGGACAGAUGGCCAGAGGGAGAGAAAGGUGGAGGACGGAGCAAUGGGAAACGGAUGAAGGGGUCAUCAAAAACAAGGAAAACCUAAAAAACUGGCAGAGCCAAGACAGCCCAAGGCAACAUGAUGACUAAAAGUAAUGUGGGAUCCUGGAAGAGAAAAGGAAUGUCCGUGAACAACUCGAAAAUCUGAAUAAGGAAGCCAGAGAAAGAAAAGUAACGGAAGCCUAGAGCAAGCAGAAAAUGAAUAAAUAACAAAAAAUACAGCAGAAAUCAAUGCAUUUUAAAAAUUAGAAAACAACAGAGAAAAUCAAUGAAACCAAAAAUAGAUUUUUAAAAAAAAUCAAUCAAGUUGAAAACCUCUAGCUAGUCCAACCAAGAAAAUAAGGGAGAAGAUGCAAAUUACUAAUAUCAGAAACGGGAGAGCUCUAUCUCUGCAGGGUCCUGUGAGCGUUAAAAUGGAAUAUGAUGAAGAACUGAUUCCACACCUGCAAAUGUGGUAACUUAAAUACAGUGGACCAAAUCCUUAAGUCUACAAACUAUCAAAAUUCACACAUGGAGAGACAGAGAGCUUGAAUGGCUUUAUAUCCAUAAAUGAAAUUGAAUCAGUCAUUAAUAGCCUUCCAGAAAACGAAGCCUCAGGCCCAGAUGUUUCACUGGUGAAUCCUAUCAACCUUUUAAGGAAGAAAUUAUACCAAUUCUUCACAUUUCUGCCAGAAACUAAAAGCAGACAAAACACUUCCAAACUCAUUCUACAAAGUCAGCAUUACACUAAUAGCAAACCAGUUAAAGACGUUAGAGAAAGGAAAAUUAUACACAAAUCUCACUGAAAAGCACAGAUGCAAAUAAACCUAACAAGAUAUUAGUGAAAAGCAUCCAGCAGUGUGUAAAAUGAAUGAUAGGCCACAGUGAAGUGGGUCUUACUCCAGGCAUGAAUUAUAUUCCUUUUUCAAAGUUCCUCACCACCUUGUUGACUUUCUGAACCUGUUAAUAAUUUGUGGUUUCUAUUGUACACAGCUGUUGUCCCUGUCUUCAGAGGGAUUGAUGGAUCAAUUGAGUUGGCCCGCCAUAACCAGAAGCAGACUCUUUGGUCUGUCUUUAUUCCACUUUGAAUUUCCCAGCAUGUGGCAAAUUACUGGGUACUCAGCAGGGAUUCAUUAAAUAUUAGGAUGAACCUGUAGGCGACAAGCAAAACCAAAGUGUGGAGCCUCCCUACCCGAAAGAAGCACCUGGCAGCGCCAGCCUCAAGCCAGGACCCCCUCGGCACAGCAACACGACCGGCUCCCACCCGCCAGCCUGCAUUUGAGCCUGGCUGAGAGCCGCAGAUAGCCCGCCUUGGUGCAGGCUCACUGCCAUCCGGCAGACGGGGCCUCCAGCAGGCCGCCCAGAGCCCUUGUGGGUGGCGUCCGUGGGUGGAUGAGGAGGCAGGCUCUCCCUCCCAGGCAAUCCCUCCCUGUCCUGAGAUUGGCUCCGGCGACCAUCCCCGGUGCAGGCUGAUGCCUCUGUGUCUUUGCCCGGCUGCCUCUCUUCCUCCUUCAGGAUUCCUCCCCAGCAAUGCAGAAGGGCCCCAUGAGGGCCCACACAGGGCAUCUGCGGUCUGUUGGGCUCAGCCCAGAGCCAGUAGCACCUUGGAAGUCUGUGGUCAAGGUCAGUUCUUCAUUCACCUGCUUGGAAAAGCAGCACUGAGCACCCUCAUGGGGUGCCAGGCCUGGGGCAGCCACUGGGGCACCAGGGAAGCAGCGCCCAUCCCCAGUCUCUGCUCUGGGUCCCUGUAGCAGGUGAUUUGGAAAGUGGGAUGUAUUUGCUAGAGUGAGGGGUCUUUAGCUUAAAGGACGCCUUCCGGGCCCCAUUGUAGAUCCCCAUUCCCCUCAGCCACCGACCACAGUGCCCAGCUUUUGUAUUCCCACUGUUCUCACACACACAAGGCUGAUCUUGUUCACAUGCUUAUUUCUGAGCUUAUUGUCUGUGGUUGCACACACACCCACAUGCAGACACAUGCGCAGACACACGCGCAGACACACGUGCAGACACACAUGCAGACACGCACAGACACACACAUCGCCAGCUACAUUGUGCCGUGAUGCACCCAGGAUAAACCCACUGUCCAGCCCUGCGGUUGUCAUUGGACCAACAAAUUCCACGUCUGAUAAAUAACAUGAAAUGCUGCAGGGUGGACGCCCAAGAUCUGUACCACAGAAUUACUGAUGACAGUGAGAAUUUAAAAAGACCCGAAAUAGCCCGCCAUGGAGGAAUCACUGGCUGCCUUCGGCUGCAUCCACAUCAAAAACACCUUUGUAAAAAGUUGUGCUCACAUCGAAAUAAAUGACGAAACAGAACACAAAAUCUUUAUAUUCAGAGUAUUAUUGUAACGACAAAUACAGGUGUUUAUGACGUUGGCAAUGCUGGGCUGGGACCACAUGGUGCAGCCGUUUGGGGGACAUCUCAGGAGUCGGGUCCCUGCAAUGCUGUCUCAGCUGCACCCCUGACUUGCUGGGGAUUUGGGGAGCCAGGUAGCCUCCCAGAGCCCCCAGGGUGGUGCAUGAAAUAGCAGCAUCUGCCCCAGGGUUGUCCUAGGAGUGAGGAAGACACCAAGUGAGGAAGGCGCCCCACGCAAGGAAAUCAGAGGGAGGCCUGGCGCACGGCGUGCAGUUGGCUCUUUUAUUUUUUAAGACCAAAGAAAAAGUCUAGAAGGAAGACUAUACCCCAAAAAAGUAGAAAUAGUUGUUUUGCUUGAGUAACUAAAUUAGGUAUUAUUUCCUUUUAACUUUUUUCUGUUUUCUGUAACUUGCAUGUUAACACUUUCACAAUUGGAGGGAAAAAUACACCUCUGAGAAAGUGAAGUCAUUCCAGGACAGGCUCACCGAAGUCCUCCAGGGCCAGGCAGCCGCACGGGGAGAAGGCUGGGCUGCAUAGGCAGGGCUGCGGAGCUGAGUGCUCAGAGCCACUCCGGCCUCCUCUUCAGUCUUGUGAGAACCCUUCAGGCCUGGGGCCCCCGGGAGAAGCAAGCACCCCUCCUCUUCAGGUAAAUCCACUUCAAGUCACUUUAUCCCCCUCUCUCUGAGAGCUGAUUGCAGCUGAGAUCGAGCCCUGAGGACGUGCCAGGAUCCUCCAACGCCUUCUAGAACAAACACACCACCCGCUUGGCACUGCCAAACAGCCUCAGAGCCUCAGGGAGGCAGUUGGCUCUGUCGCUCCAGCUCUCUGCAUUUCUUUUGUCUGUUUAAGCCUAAGAAGAUCACCUUCCCCAGACACUGUUCUAAUCACCACUCUUUGGGGCUACUACAGCCCUCCCAGGUGUUGGGCAAACCAUUAUCUUCUUGGGAUCACCCAAUGUGCGGCAUCCUUCCUCCUGCCAUCCUCUAUCUUUGUAGAAUUGGUGACGGGAGCCUGAAAGCCUCCCGGGUCUUCUAGGAGGCUAGGACUGAAGCUCGGUGGCCCAUGCUGCCGUGGAUGACAUUACAAGUGCUGACCUGAAACCUCUGGUGGACCACAGGCAUCCUGGGCAGACGGGGCUGAUAUGUAUGGUUUGGAUGGCCGUCCCCUCCAGAUCACAUGCUGAGAUGUGAUCCCCAGUGUUGGAGGUGGGGCCUGCUGGAAGGUGUUUUGGUCAUGGGGGUGGACCUCUCAUGAAUGGCUUGUAACUGUCCUUCUAGUAGUUAGUGGGUUUUCACGAGAUCUGCUUGUUUACAGUGUGUGGCUUUUCUCCCCCAGCUCUUGUUUCUGACAUGUGAUGUCCCCGCUCCCUCUUUCUUUGCCUUCCACCAUGAUUGUGAGCCUUCCAAGGCCUCCCCGGAAUCAGAGGCCAGCAGGAUGCUUCCUGUACAGCCUGCAGAACCAUGAGCCAAUUAAACCUCUUUCCUUACAAAUUACC